CCCUCACUUUGCAAAUGGCGUUUGGACAGCGGGGGGCGUCCUUGCCUUCCUUGCCGCUUUCCUUGCCUUCAGGGAUGUAAGCAGGUUUCUUUUGUGUUUUCUCAUAAUGGCAAAGUUUUUAGCGCAAUUAACAGGACAGCGACACAGGACAGCGCGCCGAACCUCUGUCACGUCCCUGUCUUUUUUGAAUUGCGCUAAAGGCUUUGCCAUCAUGAGUAAGCCUUGCCAACUAGCCCAAGAAUCAGCCUUCUUGUGUUUUAACGGUAUUUUACGAGAAGACAAAUCGGCGACAUCAGCGCAAGAAGAAAGAAAGCAUUAGAAGAGCUGCGGGAUCCAGCCGGCAUUCGUGUAAGGGCCUGAGCAGUACCGGCUAUGGGCGGCACCAGACAUCGACACGGUUCUGCCGUCGGGCUCAAUUCACGCCGCUUUUUCGUAAGGACCGCAGAGUGACUGAAAGAAUGCUGGCUGCUCAUUUCUAUGGCACAUUUCCUUGGUUCGCGGUUCGAGCAAGGCGGGUACGGACAGCCAGGUCAAGCUACGUUUACCAGCCGAGGAGGGCGACUUUCCCGUGGCUCAUGGUUCGAACAACGGGGAGAUGAACAGCCGGGCCAAGUUCCGUUCCCCAGGUGACAAGCCUUCAAGACGCUGCUCAUAUUUUUUCGCUCCUUUGGACUUCAUUGUCCCGGAACCUACAAGUUAACAGUGAAUGUGUCACCACUGGAAGUAACAAAGAGCAGAAUCCUCACAAGGAACAGAGAUGAUUGGUGCGCAAGCCGCCUACGUCAAACCAUAAGAAGCCCAACGGCGGCCAUCAUAAUGACAGCACGUCUUCUUGAACUGCG
Molecule: long non-coding RNA, 842 nt
Organism: Dermacentor albipictus
Lineage: Eukaryota; Metazoa; Arthropoda; Arachnida; Ixodida; Ixodidae
Source: RefSeq, a predicted model, not a curated record